Molecule: ribosomal RNA, 148 nt
Filed under: uncultured bacterium
Lineage: Bacteria
Description: partial 16S ribosomal RNA
Rfam family: Bacterial small subunit ribosomal RNA
Source: RNAcentral
UGANGGAGCACGCCGCGUGUGUGAUGAAGGGUUUCGGCUCGUAAAACACUGUUGUAAGAGAAGAAUGACAUUGAGAGUAACUGUUCAAUGUGUGACGGUAUCUUACCAGAAAGGAACGGCUAAAUACGUGCCAGCAGCCGCGNNAAUA